GGAGGACAAGGGGGAGGAGGACGAGGAAGACGAGGAGAACGAGGAUUUCUGAACGACAUAACCCGAGGUGGUUAGCGGUGGUCGUUGGAGGUGGUCGGUGGUGGUUGCGGGUGAUCGAGCGUGACGGGGAGAAAGACAAGGAGGAGAAGGACGAGGAUUUGUGCAUGGUAUAACCCGAGGUGGUUAUCGGUGGUUGUUGGAGGUGGUUGACGGUGGUUGGAGGUGGUUGGAGGUGGUCGGAGGUGGACGAGGAGGAGAACAAAAAAGACGAGGAGAACAAGGUGGACGAGGAAGACGAGGAUUUAAGCUCGGUGUAUAUCAUUCUAAAGUAUUGAAUACAGUAGGAGUAAGAG
Long non-coding RNA from Neodiprion fabricii, 353 nucleotides. RefSeq lists it as uncharacterized. The transcript is spliced from 3 exons. The record is from RefSeq and is a predicted model, not a curated record. Lineage: Eukaryota; Metazoa; Arthropoda; Insecta; Hymenoptera; Diprionidae.